This 407-nucleotide ribosomal RNA is filed under the name uncultured bacterium. RNAcentral describes it as "partial 16S ribosomal RNA". It matches the Rfam family "Bacterial small subunit ribosomal RNA", at positions 30 to 526 of the family's 1533-position model. The record is from RNAcentral.
AUUGAACGCUGGCGGCAGGCCUAACACAUGCAAGUCGAGCGGAGUGGCGGACGGGUGAGUAAUGUAUCGGAAUGUGCCUGGUAGUGGGGGAUAACGACGGGAAAGGGGAGCUAAUACCGCAUACUAUCGGAAGCGCCUAGAUCGGAUUAGCUAGUGGGUGGGGUAAAGGCCAACCAAGGCGACGAUCCGUAGCUGGUUUGAGAGGAAGAUCAGCCACACUGGGACUGAGACACGGCCCAGACUCCUACGGGAGGCAGCAGUGGGGAAUAUUGGACAAUGGGCGAAACCCUGAUCCAGCCAUACCGCGUGUGUGAUGAAGGCCUUCGGGUUGUAAAGCACUUUUAGUUGGGAGGCGGUACCUGCAGAAUAAGCACCGGCUAACUACGUGCCAGCAGCCGCGGUAAUAC